AGUGAACGCUGGCGGCAGGCCUAACACAUGCAAGUCGAGCGGCAGCGCGGGGGCAACCCUGGCGGCGAGCGGCGGACGGGUGAGGAAUUCGUCGGAAUCUGCCUUUUUGUGGGGGAUAACGUAGGGAAACUUACGCUAAUACCGCAUACGUCCUACGGGAGAAAGUGGGGGACCGCAAGGCCUCACGCAGAAAGAUGAGCCGACGACCGAUUAGCUAGUUGGUGGGGUAAAGGCCCACCAAGGCGACGAUCGGUAGCUGGUCUGAGAGGAUGAUCAGCCACCCUGGAACGGGAACACGGCCAGACCCCCUCGGGGGGGCACCAGGGGGGAAUAUGGGACAAUGGGCGAAAGCUUGACCCACCAAUGCGGGGUGGUUAAAGAGGGCCUCCGGUUGGUAAAGACCUUUUGUCCGGAAAGAAAUCCCUGGAGCUAAUACCUUCGGGGGAUGACGGUACCGGAAGAAUAAGCACCGGCUAACUUCGUG
Molecule: ribosomal RNA, 484 nt
Filed under: uncultured bacterium
Lineage: Bacteria
Description: partial 16S ribosomal RNA
Rfam family: Bacterial small subunit ribosomal RNA
Source: RNAcentral